UUCCAGGUUUGCUACAGGUCAGAGAAUUCUGUAAAGUCAGAGAAUUUGAAACUGGUCAGGAAAAAUCAGGAUUGAUAUUUCAUGGUUGGAAGUUAUACUACUCAGAACAAAAAAGAUCCGAGGUUGUCGAGAAGCGAGGUUAAAUGUAGGUGGCCGAUGUAGUGACGCAGUGUUCCAUCUACUAUCCUGGUAGUUUUUUGAACACUUUAUUCAAUAUUGAGAGCUUCGUCCGGCGACGCCAGGCCUCAACAGGAAUAUAAUACAUUAUUCCAAGGAACGUCUAACAGUGAUAUAUACGAAAUUAAAAAUUUUGAAGAUAAGAGUAUUGAAAAUUACGAAAAAGUUUGUUCCUGGUGGAAGUUUUUAUUUAAGAAAAUAUUGUUUAUUC
Belonocnema kinseyi is the source of this 388-nucleotide long non-coding RNA. RefSeq lists it as uncharacterized. The record is from RefSeq and is a predicted model, not a curated record. NCBI's taxonomy places the organism in Eukaryota, Metazoa, Arthropoda, Insecta, Hymenoptera, Cynipidae. The transcript has 3 exons.